GAUGAACGCUGGCGGCGUGCUUAACACAUGCAAGUCGAACGGUGAAACAGGAGCUUGCUCCUGCGGAUCAGUGGCGAACGGGUGAGUAACACGUGAGCAAUCUGCCCCGGACUCUGGGAUAAGCGUUGGAAACGACGUCUAAUACCGGAUACGAGCUGCGAAGGCAUCUUCAGCAGCUGGAAAGAAUUUCGGUCCGGGAUGAGCUCGCGGCCUAUCAGCUUGUUGGUGAGGUAACGGCUCACCAAGGCGACGACGGGUAGCCGGCCUGAGAGGGUGACCGGCCACACUGGGACUGAGACACGGCCCAGACUCCUACGGGAGGCAGCAGUGGGGAAUAUUGCACAAUGGGCGCAAGCCUGAUGCAGCAACGCCGCGUGAGGGACGACGGCCUCGGUUGUAACGUACUUUACGUUAGGUAAGAAGACGAAGUAGACGGUACCGU
RNAcentral lists this ribosomal RNA (442 nucleotides) under uncultured bacterium. RNAcentral describes it as "bacterial SSU rRNA". It matches the Rfam family "Bacterial small subunit ribosomal RNA", at positions 28 to 481 of the family's 1533-position model. The record is from RNAcentral.